UACGGGGGGGCAAGCGUUGUUCGGAAUUACUGGGCGUAAAGGGCUCGUAGGCGGCCAACUAAGUCAUACGUGAAAUCCCUCGGCUUAACCGGGGAACUGCGUCUGAUACUGGAUGGCUUGAGUUCGGGAGAGGGAUGCGGAAUUCCAGGUGUAGCGGUGAAAUGCGUAGAUAUCUGGAGGAACACCGGUGGCGAAGGCGGCAUCCUGGACCGAUACUGACGCUGAUGAGCGAAAGCCAGGGAGCAA
This 246-nucleotide ribosomal RNA is filed under the name uncultured bacterium. RNAcentral's name for it is "partial 16S ribosomal RNA". It matches the Rfam family "Bacterial small subunit ribosomal RNA", at positions 524 to 771 of the family's 1533-position model. The record is from RNAcentral.